CCGGUGACAAACCGGAGGAAGUGGGGAUGACGUCCAAGUCAUCGACUGGCCCUUACGGCCUGGGCUACACACGUGCUACAAUGGUCGGUACAAAGGGUUGCCAAGCCGCGAGGUGGAGCUAAUCCCAUAAACCGAUCGUAGUCCGGAUCGCAGUCUGCAACUCGACUGCGUGAAGUCGGAAUCGCUAGUAAUCGUGAAUCAGAAUGUCACGGUGAAUACGUUCCCGGGCCUU
Molecule: ribosomal RNA, 232 nt
Filed under: uncultured Pseudomonas sp.
Lineage: Bacteria; Pseudomonadati; Pseudomonadota; Gammaproteobacteria; Pseudomonadales; Pseudomonadaceae
Description: partial 16S ribosomal RNA
Rfam family: Bacterial small subunit ribosomal RNA
Source: RNAcentral